GAGGAUAGAUUAACCCCCCCAAAGGGGUAAAAGGAAAGGGGGGGGGGGGGGGACGCCCCAGGCUACCUGGUUGCCACCGCCCGGGGUAAUCCGUAGGUGGCAAGCGUUAUCCGGAAUUAUUGGGCGUAAAGCGCGCGCAGGUGGUUUCUUAAGUCUGAUGUGAAAGCCCACGGCUCAACCGGGGAGGGUCAUUGGAAACUGGGAGACUUGAGUGCAGAAGAGGAAAGUGGAAUUCCAUGUGUAGCGGUGAAAUGCGUAAAGAUAUGGAGGAACCCCGGUGGCGAAGGCGACUUUCUGGUCUGUAACUGACACUGAGGCUCGAAAGCGGGGGAAGCAAACAGGAUUAGAUCCCCUGGGAGUCCCCGCCGAAAACAAUGAGUGCUAAGUGUUAGAGGUUUUCCCCCCUUUAGUGCUGAAGUUAACGCAUUAAGCACUCCGCCUGGGGAGUACGGCCGCGAGGCUGAACCUCUGAUUAAUUGCCGGCCC
Molecule: ribosomal RNA, 486 nt
Filed under: uncultured bacterium
Lineage: Bacteria
Description: partial 16S ribosomal RNA
Rfam family: Bacterial small subunit ribosomal RNA
Source: RNAcentral